CUUGUAUGAUCACUAACCAU
RNAcentral lists this microRNA (20 nucleotides) under Arabidopsis lyrata. Its description in RNAcentral is "aly-miR823-5p". Its record names the gene aly-miR823-5p. Lineage: Eukaryota; Viridiplantae; Streptophyta; Magnoliopsida; Brassicales; Brassicaceae. The record is from miRBase by way of RNAcentral.